RNAcentral lists this ribosomal RNA (32 nucleotides) under Erica wendlandiana. RNAcentral's name for it is "partial 18S ribosomal RNA". Lineage: Eukaryota; Viridiplantae; Streptophyta; Magnoliopsida; Ericales; Ericaceae. The record is from RNAcentral.
CGUAGGUGAACCUGCGGAAGGAUCAUUGUCAA